This 88-nucleotide transfer RNA is filed under the name Fidelibacterota bacterium. RNAcentral describes it as "tRNA-Ser". It matches the Rfam family "tRNA". Rfam says of the family: Transfer RNA (tRNA) molecules are approximately 80 nucleotides in length. Their secondary structure includes four short double-helical elements and three loops (D, anti-codon, and T loops). The record is from RNAcentral. Lineage: Bacteria; Pseudomonadati; Fidelibacterota.
GGAGAGGUGGCCGAGCGGCUGAAGGCGCUCGCCUGCUAAGCGAGUAACAGGCAAACCCUGUUCGAGGGUUCGAAUCCCUCCCUCUCCG